This 374-nucleotide ribosomal RNA is filed under the name Brucella haematophila. RNAcentral's name for it is "bacterial SSU rRNA". It matches the Rfam family "Bacterial small subunit ribosomal RNA", at positions 116 to 526 of the family's 1533-position model. The record is from RNAcentral. Lineage: Bacteria; Pseudomonadati; Pseudomonadota; Alphaproteobacteria; Hyphomicrobiales; Brucellaceae.
CGUGGGAUCUACCAUUUGCUACGGAACAACAGUUGGAAACGACUGCUAAUACCGUAUGUGCCCUAACGGGGAAAGAUUUAUCGGCAAAUGAUGAGCCCGCGUUGGAUUAGCUAGUUGGUGGGGUAAAGGCCUACCAAGGCGACGAUCCAUAGCUGGUCUGAGAGGAUGAUCAGCCACACUGGGACUGAGACACGGCCCAGACUCCUACGGGAGGCAGCAGUGGGGAAUAUUGGACAAUGGGCGCAAGCCUGAUCCAGCCAUGCCGCGUGAGUGAUGAAGGCCCUAGGGUUGUAAAGCUCUUUCACCGGUGAAGAUAAUGACGGUAACCGGAGAAGAAGCCCCGGCUAACUUCGUGCCAGCAGCCGCGGUAAUAC